Long non-coding RNA from Aplysia californica (California sea hare), 1499 nucleotides. RefSeq lists it as uncharacterized. Lineage: Eukaryota; Metazoa; Mollusca; Gastropoda; Aplysiida; Aplysiidae. The transcript is spliced from 2 exons. The record is from RefSeq and is a predicted model, not a curated record.
UGAGGGAGGGAGAGAGAAAGUACUGUAAUGUCUGUCCCUGGGCGCUAAGGAAAGAUGAGUAUCAUUGAAUUUGAGUUAUAGAGAAAUGGGUACAGAGGGAUACAAAUCAAACAGUAUGACUGAAAUUAGACAAAAUGCAGUGCAUAGUGGAAUAUAGGUCUGAUACACUGUAAAUCUUUUUUAAGCCAGUAAGCAAUAGCCUGUAAUAGAUUGAGUAAUUAAUUAUGAACUAUAUUUUUUAUAAAUGAGGGCAGAGGGAAGAAAACAGUAGUUUUAGUAGUGAAAUAGACCAACAUAAGCUAGCUGUAUCGUUUUUAUAAAGUCGGCCACUCAGUCAGUCAGUCAGUCAAGCAGGAGAAGAAAAGAAAAGAGACGACAAGAAAUCUGACACACUGACGACUUCACGGCUUAUCGACUCUUUGGACAGACGUGAAUCCGCCGGAAACGAAACCAAAGGCGUGGUGCACUCACUGUGUCUGAACUGUGCUGGGCUGUGCGGAACAAGUAUAGUCCAUCCGUCCAUCCAUCCUUCCACCCACCCAUCCACCGACCACAAACGCCCGUCGCCAGCUGUGCUGCUAGUGUGGAAGGAACGCCGACAAUUAUAGGACAUUCAGAGACAUUGCUCAACCACGCAAUGCGGCCCUGUCAGCCAAUCUUGGCUCACAGCACACGAUUUUGGACUAUCGGAUUAUUAUUACUAUGAACAUUUGACUGAAAUGUGGUUAGUUCGUAUUGAGGCGGAAAAACGCGUCCUAAUCCUUGCUUUUUAAAAUUGUUUUUCUUCUACUAAAAAAACUCAACAAACAAAAAAUUUUUUUUUAAAGAAUUGUUUAGGGAUAAUAAAAUUCUUACCGCAUGACUAACUGGAGCUUGCGAGAGUAAAGAGAUUAACUUGGCUGAGGGAAUUCACACAGUUUUUUUCCCGGAACGAGAUGUGUUAGCGUUCAUUGUGUUGUGUAAAAAAAGAUGUUGGGUUCUCGUGGUACCAAUUAUAACCUUUGGAGACGCUGUGUACAUCUGGGAGUGACAUUACAAUUUCUCUGAAGGACGAUGUCUACAAAAUACAAUCUUUACUCUUAGAGAAGAGCGGGUCUCCAAGGAUGGACAGAAAACACCCCAGCCACGUCUAAAUCAUCUCUGAGGAUACUACGUCUCUAACAGAAUGUAACGAUAAGCAACGUUGUGUGUUUCCUAAUUAAUGGGAAUGUCGAAAUUCUUAUUGAUUGUUUCCGCCACGCCUUUCUAAAACAAGGAUCAGUGUUAUAGCUGGAUUCUCUCAAAAGUGUCACAGGUGUAGUUGAGUGCAAACGCGUAAAAGUGCACAGGACAACAACUGCGUAAGAGAAUUCACCAGGAAGGAGUUACAGAAAGAGCAACAACAAUAUCUGCGUCGAUAAUGAUACGAACUGUGUUAUUGUUGAUGUAGCAGCAACAACAUCUUCAUCAACAACAACAACAACAACAACAAGAAUAACACGACAACAGUAACAGCAAAA